CCCGGCGGCACUCCGAGCGCAGUAGCACCUGUUCUCGCUCAGGGCGUGCCCCGGGGUUUUGUUCCCGGCCGUUAAAUAGCGCCUUUUCGCAAGGUUGACCUCGGAUCAGGUAGGAGGACCCGCUGAACUUAAGCAUAUCAAUAAGCGGAGGAAAAGAAACCAACAGGGAUUGCCCUAGUAACGGCGAGUGAAGCGGCAACAGCUCAAAUUUGAAAUCUGGCUUCGGCCCGAGUUGUAAUUUGCAGAGGAAGCUUCCGGCGCGGCACCUCCUGAGUCCCCUGGAACGGGGCGCCACAGAGGGUGAGAGCCCCGUAUAGUUGGAUGCCCAGCCCGUGUGAAGCUCCUUCGACGAGUCGAGUAGUUUGGGAAUGCUGCUCAAAAUGGGAGGUAAAUUUCUUCUAAAGCUAAAUACCGGCCAGAGACCGAUAGCGCACAAGUAGAGUGAUCGAAAGAUGAAAAGCACUUUGAAAAGAGGGUUAAAUAGCACGUGAAAUUGUUGAAAGGGAAGCGCUUGUGACCAGACUUGCGCCGGGCUGAUCAUCCGGUGUUCUCACCGGUGCACUCUGCCCGGCUCAGGCCAGCAUCGGUUCCCGCGGGGGGACAAAGGCCCUGGGAACGUAGCUCCUCCGGGAGUGUUAUAGCCCGGGGCGUAAUGCCCUCGCGGGGACCGAGG
Molecule: small RNA, 673 nt
Filed under: Chaetomium sp. 1 MK-2015
Lineage: Eukaryota; Fungi; Ascomycota; Sordariomycetes; Sordariales; Chaetomiaceae
Description: eukaryotic LSU rRNA
Rfam family: Eukaryotic large subunit ribosomal RNA (bases 96-673)
Source: RNAcentral